GCAGCUGGGGCGGUAGCGGUGUCCUGUACCUUCAAUCCGCUAUAGUAGGGGUGAUACUAAUCUGAGGGCAUUUUGCUGUAGAGCAGCCCUUUAUAAGUGGCGAUGACGUUUGGGUCUUACGCAACAGGAAUCUAUGAAUCGUGUCAGGUCAGGAAUGAAGCAGCACUAAGUAGAAGCUCUUGUGUGCCGUGAGGGUGCCUGGACUGAGUUAACUGUAAAGGUAACGUCUGGGGCAGGUGUUCGAAGUGCAGUGCACG
RNAcentral lists this signal recognition particle RNA (257 nucleotides) under chicken gut metagenome. RNAcentral's name for it is "Bacterial large signal recognition particle RNA". It matches the Rfam family "Bacterial large signal recognition particle RNA". Rfam says of the family: The signal recognition particle (SRP) is a universally conserved ribonucleoprotein involved in the co-translational targeting of proteins to membranes. Archaeal SRP consists of a 7S RNA and homologues of the eukaryotic SRP19 and SRP54 proteins. In most bacteria, the SRP consists of a 4.5S RNA and the Ffh protein (a homologue of the eukaryotic SRP54 protein). The record is from RNAcentral.